UCAGAGAUGGGUGUUAUGCCUGAGAUUGCUCAAGCUGUGGAAGAGAUGGAUUGGCUUCUUCCAACUGAUAUCCAGGCUGAAUCUAUCCCACUGAUCCUAGGAGGAGGUGAUGUACUGAUGGCUGCAGAAACAGGAAGUGGAAAAACUGGUGUAAGUA
This is a long non-coding RNA of Galeopterus variegatus (Sunda flying lemur), 157 nucleotides long. RefSeq lists it as uncharacterized. NCBI's taxonomy places the organism in Eukaryota, Metazoa, Chordata, Mammalia, Dermoptera, Cynocephalidae. The record is from RefSeq and is a predicted model, not a curated record. The transcript is spliced from 3 exons.